AUGACAGGUUCCUGGGCCGCGCCGCCUCGCCCUGCCUGGGCGGGGUUGGGACCUUUCUGGCACCUGCGUCGAAGCCGGCGGCAGGAUGGACUUUGUUGUCCCGGUCCCAGACCACCCUCCUCCACCGUCGCCUCCCACUGCAAAAAGGCCUGGAUAAGGAACCUAAUUCGAGCUACCCUUCUCUGUGAAGCUCGACGGCUGAGAACGUCAGGGCUCGUUCCCAAGUCUCUUUCCAGAGGCCAGGCUUUAUGGGAGCAUGGGUUACCAGCGACGCACCCUGUGAGUUUUCCUCUAUCGAUAUGCAUGGAGCGGUUCGGGAGCGGUGGCUCAUUCCUGUAGUCCCAGCACUUCGGGAAGCUGUGGCGGGAGGAUCAGUUGAGUUCAGGAGUUCGACACCACCCUGGGCAACAUAGCGAGACCACAUCUCUACAAAAAAAAUACAAAAAUUAGCCCGGUGUGAUGGCGCGCGCCUGUAGUCCCCGCUACUUAGGAGGUUGCGGUGGAAGGAUUGCUUGAGCCUGGGAGGUCAAGGUUGCAGUGAGCUAUGAUCGCACCACUGCACUUCAGCCUGGGCAACAGAGCAAGACCCGGCAUUAAAACAAACAAAAACGGGCCGGGCGCGGUGGCUCACAGCUGUAAUCCCAGCACUUUGGGAGGCCAAGGCAGGUGGAUCGCCUGAGGUCAGGAGUUCCGAGACCAGUCUGGGCAACAUGAUAAAACCUCGUCUCUACUAAAAAUACCAAAAAUUAGCCGGGCUUGGUGGAGGGCACCUGUACCCAGCUACUUGGGAGGCUGAGGCAGGAGAAUCGCUUGAACCCGGGAAGCGGAGGCUACAGUAAGCCGAGAUCAAGCCAUUGCACUCCAGCCUGGGCAGCAGGGCAAGACUCUGUCUCAAAAAAAGGGACUGAGGGACUGUAGGUGGUGAUACCAAAGAAAGCAUGGCCAUUUAGGAAGCUAGACUUGAGUGAGCAGUGGGCAAGAGAGAUUUUGAAGAUAUUUCCACUAGUAAUGGAGGAUCAUUUUAAAAAGCUGGCCUGUGGGUUGGGCUUUUGUUGUUGGGUGGUGUUGGCACUCACUGUGGGUGGGCAAAGGGGAGUAGCCCUUUCAGAGGGAGAGGAAAAGUUCAAGUAGGACAGGCUGAAUUCAAGGGAGAGGAAAAUUUCAAGUAGGACAGGCUGAAUUCGAGGGAGAGGACCAUGAGAGAGGUAAGGUGGAAGGGGCAAGGUGUUGGGACAGGCCCCAGCUGGCAGGAAGGUGAACCCAGUCAGAGUGGGCACUGAGAGGAAAGCAAUCUAUGGAUGGUACAGCCACAAUUUCCAUCUCAGGAUCAAGCAGAGAAAGAGAGGCUGGAGAAGGAAGAGUGACAGAAGUAAGAAGAGAGUGUCUCUCCACUUCCACUCCAGCCCCCUACAGCUCAUCCUCCAGCAGGCAGCCAAGGGCACUUUUAGGAUCUCACAUCAGGUCCUUGCCUCACAUUCUGCACUGGCUUCCCAAGUAAUUAAAGUAAAAUCCAAAUUCCAGCUCACAGCUUAGAAAACUCAGCAGGACUGGCCUCUGUCCUAUCCCACACCCCACCUCAGUCCCUCAAGCUCAUCUCCUGUCAUUCCUGCCCAUUUCUGGACCCCAGCCACUCCUCAAACAGGGUGAGGAUGCAGUGUCCAAGGCACCAUCUUGAACUCAUCAUCGCCAAAUAUGUGAGCACCUUGAUGUUGGACUUCCCAACCUCCAGACCGUAAGGCAGUACAUUUCUUUGUAAAUUACGCAGUCUCAGCUAUUCUGUUACAGCAGCACAAAUGGACUAAGACAACCCCCGAGAUAGGAAGGGGUAAGGUAAAUGCAAUGAGAGUUGGGGUUUUCGAUCUUAGUCCAGUAAAGGAGCUGGAACUGUUCUGUAUAAACAAAGGGCAAGGUAAUUGCUACAUAGAUUCUUUUCUUAUUAUUGCUGAUUCUUAUCCUAAAAUAAAGGACAUUGCCACUACACAUCCUCUAGAAUGACCAAAAAUAAAAAUACAGCAUCAAAUGGGACGACAUGGUGCCAACUGGAAUUCUCAUACCCUGCUGAUGGGAGUAUAAUGUGGUACAGUCACUUUGGAAAAAAGUUUGACAAUUUCUUAUAAAAUUAUACAUAAACCUGUACUAUGACCUAGAGAUUCUACUCCUGUUUGUUCAAAAGAAAGGCAAACAUCUGUCCACUAAAAGAUAUGUACAAGAAUGCUCACAGUGGCAUUAUUUAUGACGGUCCAAACCAGGAGAUAAUCCAAAUGUCUGUAACCAAGAGAAUGGAUAAAGAAAUUUUGAUACGUCAAUUUAAUGGAUUACUACUUAGCAAUAAAAAUAAUUAGCCAUGCUGGGCGCGGUGGCUUAUGCCUGUAAUCCCAGCACUUUGGGAGGCUGAGGCAGGUGGAUCACCUGAGGUUGGGAGUUCAAGACCAGCCUGACCAACAUGGAGAACCCCCGUCUCUACUAAAAUACAAAAUUAGCCGGGGUGGUGGCGCAUGCCUGUAAUCCCAGCUACUCGGGAGGCUGAGGCAGGAGAAUCACUUGAACCCGGGAGGUGGAGGUUGCAUUGAGCCGAGAUUGCGCCAUUGCACUCCAGCAUGGGCAAAAAGAGCAAAACUCCGUCUCAAAAAAAUAAAUAAAUAAUAAUUAGCCACAUAUCCACACAACAAUAUUGCAUUAUCACAGGUAUAGUGAUAAAUACUGUAUGAUUCCAUUUAUAUGAAGUUCAAGAACAGGCAAGUAAUCCAUGAUGAAAGAAGUACUUACCUCUGGGGGUGGCAGCAUUGACUAAAGAGGUACAAGGGAGUCUUCUGGGGCCUGGAAAUGUUCUAUAUCUUGAUCUGGGUGGUGGUUACACAGGUAUACGCGUGUUAAGAAAUCAUCAGGCUGUAUACUUAGUGUACUGUAAUGGCAUUACACUGUCUUUCAAUUAAAAUGUGAAAGAAAAAACGGGGGUGUCUUUUGCUUCCACAUUUGUAGCCCCAGCUUCUGUAUCUCCUGCGUGAUAAUGGUUGGAUGAAUUAAAAGGUAGGAGGAAUAGAAGAGGAGAAAAGCAAUAGGAAGAGGAAGGCUGGAAGAAAAGCCCAGCUCCACUGUCUCACUUGGGUGUCACUGGGUACUGGGGAAUUUGGAAGCACUAGGGAACAGAGAGGAAGGUGCUCCCUUAGGCUUCCACUUCUCAGCCCAGUAGUGAGAGGCUAUGAAGCUGUUGCCCCCUGGUGGGGGACAAGUGAGACCAGUGAGAGAGGGUUUUUGCCUUAGAAUUGCCCCUUCC
This 3274-nucleotide long non-coding RNA is filed under the name Homo sapiens (human). RNAcentral's name for it is "HSALNT0398986". Lineage: Eukaryota; Metazoa; Chordata; Mammalia; Primates; Hominidae. The record is from RNAcentral.